This 45-nucleotide transfer RNA is filed under the name Euclea natalensis. RNAcentral describes it as "partial tRNA-Phe". It matches the Rfam family "tRNA", at positions 1 to 44 of the family's 71-position model. Rfam says of the family: Transfer RNA (tRNA) molecules are approximately 80 nucleotides in length. Their secondary structure includes four short double-helical elements and three loops (D, anti-codon, and T loops). Further hydrogen bonds mediate the characteristic L-shaped molecular structure. tRNAs have two regions of fundamental functional importance: the anti-codon, which is responsible for specific mRNA codon recognition, and the 3' end, to which the tRNAs corresponding amino acid is attached (by aminoacyl-tRNA synthetases). tRNAs cope with the degeneracy of the genetic code in two manners: having more than one tRNA (with a specific anti-codon) for a particular amino acid; and 'wobble' base-pairing, i.e. permitting non-standard base-pairing at the 3rd anti-codon position. RNAcentral also lists the same sequence under 8 other names. Lineage: Eukaryota; Viridiplantae; Streptophyta; Magnoliopsida; Ericales; Ebenaceae. The record is from RNAcentral.
GUCGGGAUAGCUCAGCUGGUAGAGCAGAGGACUGAAAAUCCUCGU